AGUGAACGCUGGCGGCGUGCCUAAUACAUGCAAGUCGAACGGAGAUUAAGUAGCUUGCUAUUUAAUCUUAGUGGCGCACGGGUGAGUAAUAUAUAGCUAACUUGCCCAUUACUAAGGGACAACAGUUGGAAACGACUGCUAAUACCUUAUACUCCGUAUCUAUAUAAGUAGAUACGGGAAAGUUUUUCGGUAAUGGAUAGGGCUAUAUCGUAUCAGCUAGUUGGUAAGGUAAUGGCUUACCAAGGCUAUGACGCGUAACUGGUCUGAGAGGAUGAUCAGUCACCCUGGAACGGGCGCCCGUUCCCAGUCCCCAGGGGAGGCAGCAGUAGGGAAUAUUGCCCCAGGGGGCAAACCCUGAACACGCAACGCCGCUGGGAGGUUUACCCUUUUCGGGGCGUAAACCCCUUUUCUUGGAAAAGAAUUCUGCCGUUCCCAAAGGAAUAACCCCCGGCUACCUCCAU
This 461-nucleotide ribosomal RNA is filed under the name uncultured bacterium. RNAcentral describes it as "partial 16S ribosomal RNA". It matches the Rfam family "Bacterial small subunit ribosomal RNA", at positions 29 to 506 of the family's 1533-position model. The record is from RNAcentral.